This 71-nucleotide transfer RNA is filed under the name Tequintavirus BF23. RNAcentral's name for it is "Escherichia virus BF23 transfer RNA-Trp (ACA)". The record is from RNAcentral. Lineage: Duplodnaviria; Heunggongvirae; Uroviricota; Caudoviricetes; Demerecviridae.
UGGGGUACGCAUAGGUUGCAAAUGGGCCUACAAAACCCAUGAAAAGGUUUCGAAUACCUUUACCCCUGCCA